ACGGUGCUUUCGGGCACAGUGGCGGACGGGUGAGUAACGCGUGAGAAUCUGGCUUUAGGUCUGGGACAACCACUGGAAACGGUGGCUAAUACCGGAUGUGCCGAAAGGUGAAAGGUUAACUGCCUGAAGAUGAGCUCGCGUCUGAUUAGCUAGUAGGUGUGGUAAAGGCGCACCUAGGCGACGAUCAGUAGCUGGUCUGAGAGGACGAUCAGCCACACUGGGACUGAGACACGGCCCAGACUCCUACGGGAGGCAGCAGUGGGGAAUUUUCCGCAAUGGGCGAAAGCCUGACGGAGCAAUACCGCGUGAGGGAGGAAGGCUCUUGGGUCGUAAACCUCUUUUCUCAGGGAAGAACACAAUGACGGUACCUGAGGAAUAAGCAUCGGCUAACUCCGUGCCAGCAGCCGCGGUAAUACGGAGGAUGCAAGCGUUAUCCGGAAUGAUUGGGCGUAAAGCGUCCACAGGUGGCUGUGUAAGUCUGCUGUUAAAGAGUCUAGCUCAACUAGAUAAGAGCAGUGGAAACUACACGGCUAGAGUACGUUCGGGGCAGAGGGAAUUCCUGGUGUAGCGGUGA
This 574-nucleotide ribosomal RNA is filed under the name uncultured cyanobacterium. RNAcentral describes it as "bacterial SSU rRNA". It matches the Rfam family "Bacterial small subunit ribosomal RNA", at positions 66 to 684 of the family's 1533-position model. The record is from RNAcentral. Lineage: Bacteria; Bacillati; Cyanobacteriota.